Struthio camelus australis is the source of this 439-nucleotide long non-coding RNA. The record is from Ensembl. Lineage: Eukaryota; Metazoa; Chordata; Aves; Struthioniformes; Struthionidae.
AAAUGCUCUGAGCAGCCGGGGAGAAGUGAGGCUGGGGCAGAGGGGAGAGGGCCUGUCAGUAGAUGCCUCACAUUUCCUAGACGGGGAUAUGCUUGAUGUUGCCCUUGCCUGGUGCCAGCUGCAGGGCCGGAGUGGUGAGGAAGCCCAUGAAUGGUUUCAAACGUGCAUUUUGGUGUUAAGUAGCAAACAAAGCUGUCAAAACCCUGGAAACAGGCUCUGGCUUGGAUUCAGACUUCAGGAAAUUCCCCCACAGCAUCUACCGCACGGUGCUCCUCUCUUGGCUAUUUUGAAGGAUCUCCUGAGCUUAAGGAAGGCUGCUGCACCCCGUAGGACGCUGAGUAGCUGGGACAGAGACCCGCAGGAUGAGGAGAGCCAGAAUUGUUCCUCCCCUAGCAAGUUGAGUGUGCUCCAGCAGCCGAGGCUCCCGAUGGCAUAUUAA